UAUUAUAUGGAGUUUGAUGAUGAAGUAGCAAUAGGAUAAUUAUGAAUAGAUGUGGAUUUUAGCAUAGUGAAUGGACUGAACUCGGUUUUACGUUUGUAAUGUGUAUGGUUUGUUUUGUAGGUUUUGGAGUUUAAUGUUGCAGGGUUAGUUUGGUUGUAUGGGAAGGCUGGCAGUUAAUGGAACUGUUUUUUGAACAAGAGUAUGGUGCUGCAGUACAGGUGAUGCAUUGUAUGGUGUUUAAUGUGUGGUGCAGAGUGAUGUGAAGCUGUGUAAUUGCAUAUGUAGGUUUUCUCAUGAUGGAGCAACUGUCACAGUGAAAUUGGACACAAGUCAAGGCUUAAUCAAGGAGGGUCAUGAUGAUGGGGGCAAGGUUGAGACUGCCUCGGAUGGGAUGAGGCUAGGGUGCAAAAAGUCGACAGUGGACUAAAAGUCAACUUAGGCCAAUAUGUGUGAUUUUGUAGCUUUUUGAAUGUAAUGUGUAAUGAUGAAAUUGGAUUUUAUAAUGAACAUGAAUAUUUGACAAUGGAAUUUUGUAGUUGACUUGCAA
Vicia villosa (hairy vetch) is the source of this 547-nucleotide long non-coding RNA. RefSeq lists it as uncharacterized. The record is from RefSeq and is a predicted model, not a curated record. Lineage: Eukaryota; Viridiplantae; Streptophyta; Magnoliopsida; Fabales; Fabaceae. The transcript is spliced from 2 exons.